UACAGAGGGUGCGAGCGUUAAUCGGAAUUACUGGGCGUAAAGGGUGCGUAGGUGGUUAUUUAAGUCAGAUGUGAAAUCCCUAGGCUCAACCUAGGAAUUGCGUUUGAGACUGGAUAGCUAGAGUGUAGUAGAGGGAAGUGGAAUUUCCGGUGUAGCGGUGAAAUGCGUAGAUAUCGGAAGGAACAUCAGUGGCGAAGGCGACUUCCUGGACUGUUACUGACACUGAGGCACGAAAGCGUGGGGAGCGAAC
RNAcentral lists this ribosomal RNA (250 nucleotides) under uncultured bacterium. Its description in RNAcentral is "partial 16S ribosomal RNA". It matches the Rfam family "Bacterial small subunit ribosomal RNA", at positions 524 to 773 of the family's 1533-position model. The record is from RNAcentral.